CAAAAGGAAAAAAGAAAAAGAAAAAAAGAAAGAAAGAAAGGAGCGCAUUGAAAUCCCAUUCUCACUAUUUUCCUUUACAGGUUUAUUUUUAUUGCUGAUACCAUACUCUAUUACAACGAUGUGAUGCAUACAAAACAGUCUCCCACCACCACCAUUAACUGCGGUGGAAACAAGCCGGAUGAAGGGGGAAAAAAAAAGGAAUUUUUGAGUCUCCUGCUUAGCUUUCUAUAUUGUCUUUAAAAAAAAAAAA
This 250-nucleotide non-coding RNA is filed under the name Platyophrya macrostoma. Lineage: Eukaryota; Ciliophora; Colpodea; Cyrtolophosidida; Platyophryidae. The record is from RNAcentral.